AAGACCUUGCGCUUUUGGAGCGGCCGAUGCCUGAUUAGCUUGUUGGUAAGGUAAAAGCUUACCAAGGCUUCGAUCAGUAGCUGGUCUGAGGGGACGGCCAGCCACACUGGGACUGAGACACGGCCCAGACUCCUACGGGAGGCAGCAGUGGGGAAUUUUGGACAAUGGGGGCAACCCUGAUCCAGCCAUGCCGCGUGAGUGAAGAAGGCCUUCGGGUUGUAAAGCUCUUUCAGCCGGAACGAAACGGUUACGGUUAAUACCCGUGACUACUGACGGUACCGGAAGAAGAAGCACCGGCUAACUACGUGCCAGCAGCCGCGGUAAUACGUAGGGUGCGAGCGUUAAUCGGAAUUACUGGGCGUAAAGCGUGCGCAGGUGGUUUUGUAAGUCAGAUGUGAAAGCCCCGGGCUCAACCUGGGAACU
RNAcentral lists this ribosomal RNA (423 nucleotides) under uncultured bacterium. RNAcentral describes it as "bacterial SSU rRNA". It matches the Rfam family "Bacterial small subunit ribosomal RNA", at positions 207 to 622 of the family's 1533-position model. The record is from RNAcentral.